RNAcentral lists this ribosomal RNA (497 nucleotides) under uncultured bacterium. Its description in RNAcentral is "partial 16S ribosomal RNA". It matches the Rfam family "Bacterial small subunit ribosomal RNA", at positions 28 to 507 of the family's 1533-position model. The record is from RNAcentral.
GAUGAACGCUGGCGGCGUGCCUAAUACAUGCAAGUCGAGCGAACAGACGAGGAGCUUGCUCCUCUGACGUUAGCGGCGGACGGGUGAGUAACACGUGGAUAACCUACCUAUAAGACUGGGAUAACUUCGGGAAACCGGAGCUAAUACCGGGUAAUAUAUUGAACCGCAUGGUUCAAUAGUGAAAGACGGUUUUGCUGUCACUUAUAGAUGGAUCCGCGCCGCAUUAGCUAGUUGGUAAGGUAACGGCUUACCAAGGCAACGAUGCGUAGCCGACCUGAGAGGGUGAUCGGCCACACUGGAACUGAGACACGGUCCAGACUCCUACGGGAGGCAGCAGUAGGGAAUCUUCCGCAAUGGGCGAAAGCCUGACGGAGCAACGCCGCGUGAGUGAUGAAGGUCUUCGGAUCGUAAAACUCUGUUAUUAGGGAAGGACAAAUGUGUAAGUAACUAUGCACGUCUUGACGGUACCUAAUCAGAAAGCCACGGCUAACUACGUG